UAUACAACUGUUUAUGUGUGCUAUAUGAGGUCUCUGAUAUUGCUUUACCUUGCAUCUAGAAUUGUAACUGUGACUUGGUUUACUGUGAAUGAUUCAUCUUGUUUGCCUGAAGAUGAAUCAGUUUCGAAAGGAUUCCUUCCCAGGCAAUACCCGGGGGUUUUAGGCUGGGGCAUUGUUGCAGUUUCGCUGCUCAACAUCAAUACAACAGAUGACAUUGUUGGUCUAUCUUCUGCUUGUUCUUGGACGCAUAAAAGGCCUACCUGUAUGCAUCUCAGAACUUCACUCGAGGAAAAUGAAUUGCCAACCGAUAUAUCUAACAAGUCCAACCCUUUUCCUUCUUUCCAUAGUCUCCAUGCAUGUCCAAGAAGGUUGAGUUCACCGUUUGAAUGAUAAAAUCCCCUGUUCUUAUUGCCACUUACAAUCUCCAACACUAGUACACCAAGACUAAAAACAUCUGAUUUCAUUGAGAAGAGCCCAUCCAUUGCAUACUCAGGAGACAUAUAACCAUAUGUUCCCACUACUCUCCUGGUACUUGCUUCUGUUUGAUCUCC
Molecule: unclassified non-coding RNA, 551 nt
Filed under: Hevea brasiliensis (rubber tree)
Lineage: Eukaryota; Viridiplantae; Streptophyta; Magnoliopsida; Malpighiales; Euphorbiaceae
Source: RNAcentral